Molecule: ribosomal RNA, 496 nt
Filed under: uncultured bacterium
Lineage: Bacteria
Description: partial 16S ribosomal RNA
Rfam family: Bacterial small subunit ribosomal RNA
Source: RNAcentral
AUGAACGCUGGCGGCGUGCCUAAUACAUGCCAGUCGAGCGAACGGACGAGAAGCUUGCUUCUCUGAUGUUAGCGGCGGACGGGUGAGUAACACGUGGAUGACCUACCUAUAAGACUGGGAUAACUUCGGGAAACCGGAGCUAAUACCGGAUAAUAUUUUGAACCGCAUGGUUCAAAAGUGAAAGACGGUCUUGCUGUCACUUAUAGAUGGAUCCGCGCUGCAUUAGCUAGUUGGUAAGGUAACGGCUUACCAAGGCAACGAUGCAUAGCCGACCUGAGAGGGUGAUCGGCCACACUGGAACUGAGACACGGUCCAGACUCCUACGGGAGGCAGCAGUAGGGAAUCUUCCGCAAUGGGCGAAAGCCUGACGGAGCAACGCCGCGUGAGUGAUGAAGGUCUUCGGAUCGUAAAACUCUGUUAUUAGGGAAGAACAUAUGUGUAAGUAACUGUGCACAUCUUGACGGUACCUAAUCAGAAAGCCACGGCUAACUACGUG